This 253-nucleotide ribosomal RNA is filed under the name uncultured bacterium. RNAcentral describes it as "partial 16S ribosomal RNA". It matches the Rfam family "Bacterial small subunit ribosomal RNA", at positions 524 to 776 of the family's 1533-position model. The record is from RNAcentral.
AACGUAGGGGGCGAACGUUAUCCGGAAUUCCUGGGCGUAAAGCGCACGCAGGCGGCUUCGUAAGUCCAACGUGAAAGCUCCCGGCUUAACCGGGAGAGGUCGUUGGAUACUGCGAGGCUCGAGGUUAGGAGAGGGAAGUGGAAUUCCCGGUGUAGUGGUGGAAUACGUAGAUAUCGGGAGGAACUCCAGUGGCGAAGGCGACUUCCUGGCCUACACCUGACGCUGAGGUGCGAAAGCGUGGGGAGCAAACAGG